RNAcentral lists this unclassified non-coding RNA (666 nucleotides) under Zea mays. RNAcentral's name for it is "misc RNA Zm00001eb354040". Lineage: Eukaryota; Viridiplantae; Streptophyta; Magnoliopsida; Poales; Poaceae. The record is from RNAcentral.
CUGCUCGCCGCCGCCUGCUACUGCUAUACCCGCCGUCAGCAUGCAUCCGACAGCGGCCAAGAGGCCAUCGCCGCCGCAGGAUCAGGAGGCCAUGCCGCCGUGCGCGAAGAGAAUGCGGGGUGCUACGGCGCUGCCAACUCCGACCUGGUGGGCGCCCGUCACCGCGGAUCCUCGCAAGAUGCCCUUCGCGCCACCGCAGCCAUGUGCGCCUCGCCGUUGUUCGACAAAUCGCUCAGCGACGACACAGCAAUUGCCCGCUUCAGCUCUGCCGGCAUCUUCGACCCGAUCGCCCCUCGCCGCUACCGGCUUCGCAACGCCGCCGCCUGCUACGUUCGCCUUCGCCUUCAGCAAGCAACAUCGCGCGGCGGCCAAGAGGACAUCACCGCCGCUAGAUGCCAUGCCGCCGUGCGCCAAAAGAAUGCGGGGUCCUUCGGCGCUGCCGGCUCCGACCUGGCCGCCACCACAGCCCUGCUCGUCCAGACGAAGGAGAGGAGGAGGAGGACAACAAUACUUGAUCCAUUUGAAGCUGCCAUGCUGCGAGAGACAGCUGACGAAGAAGAGGACGACGACAUGGACGACUUUGCUAAGGCACUGGAAGAUAUGCUGUUAGGGCAAGCAGAGGAGCCUGCGCCGGAGUUCGACGACGACGGCUUUGCCAAUGCAUAA